This 274-nucleotide ribosomal RNA is filed under the name uncultured bacterium. Its description in RNAcentral is "partial 16S ribosomal RNA". It matches the Rfam family "Archaeal small subunit ribosomal RNA", at positions 473 to 747 of the family's 1478-position model. The record is from RNAcentral.
ACACCAGCACCUCAAGUGGUCAGGAGGUUUAUUGGGCCUAAAGCAUCCGUAGCCUGUUCUGUAAGUUUUCGGUUAAAUCCAUUAGCUCAACUAAUGGGCUGCCGAAAAUACUGUAGAACUAGGGAGUGGGAGAGGUAGACGGUAUUCGGUAGGAAGGGGUAAAAUCCUUUGAUCUAUUGAGGACCACCUGUGGCGAAGGCGGUCUACCAGAACACGUUCGACGGUGAGGGAUGAAAGCUGGGGGAGCAAACCGGAUUAGAAACCCCGGUAGUCC